This 794-nucleotide ribosomal RNA is filed under the name uncultured sediment archaeon. RNAcentral's name for it is "bacterial SSU rRNA". It matches the Rfam family "Archaeal small subunit ribosomal RNA", at positions 6 to 806 of the family's 1478-position model. The record is from RNAcentral.
GGUUGAUCCUGCCGGACCUGACUGCUAUCGGAUUGAUACUAAGCCAUGUGAGUCAUUGUAGCAAUACAAGGCAGACGGCUCAGUAACACGUAGCCAAUCUAACCUAUGGACGGGGAUAACCUCGGGAAACUGAGGAUAAACCCCGAUAGAUCAUUAUGCCUGGAACGGUUUAUGGUCCAAAUGAUUCGUCGCCGUAGGAUGAGACUGCGGCCUAUCAGCUUGUUGGUGAGGUAAUGGCCCACCAAGGCUAUUACAGGUACGGGCUCUGAGAGGAGAAGCCCGGAGAUGGGUACUGAGACACGGACCCAGGCCCUAUGGGGCGCAGCAGGCGAGAAACCUUUGCAAUGUGCGCAAGCACGACAAGGUUAAUCCGAGUGAUUCCUGCUAAAGGAAUCUUUUGUUAGUCUUAAAAUCACUAUUGAAUAAGGGGUGGGCAAGUUCUGGUGUCAGCCGCCGCGGUAAAACCAGCACCUCAAGUGGUCAGGAGGAUUAUUGGGCCUAAAGCAUCCGUAGCCUGCUCUGUAAGUUUCCGGUUAAAUCCAUUAGCUCAACUAAUGGCCUGCCGGAAAUACUGCAGAGCUAGGAAGUGGGAGAGGUAGACGGUACUCGGUAGGAAGGGGUAAAAUCCUUUGAUCUAUUGAUGACCACCUGUGGCGAAGGCGGUCUACCAGAACACGUUCGACGGUGAGGGAUGAAAGCUGGGGGAGCAAACCGGAUUAGAUACCCGGGUAGUCCCAGCUGUAAACGAUGCAGACUCGGUGAUGCGCUGGCUUGUGGCCAGUGCAGUGCCGCAG